CCUACGGGUGGCAGCAGUGAGGAAUAUUGGUCAAUGGGCGGGAUACUGAACCAGCCAAGCCGCGUGAAGGACGACGGCUCUGCGAGUUGUAAACUGCUUUUGUCAGGGAGUAAAGUGCUGUACGCGUAGGGGUUUGAAUGUACGGUACGAAUAAGGAUCGGCUAACUCCGUGCCAGCAGCCGCGGUAAUACGGAGGAUGCGAGCGUUAUCCGGAUUUAUUGGGGUUAAAGGGUGCGUAGGUUGUUUUUUAAGUUAGCGGUGAAAUACCGAGGGCCAACACCGGGGCUGCCGUUGAUACUGUAGGUCUAGAGUUGGGAAGCAGCAGGCGGAAUGCGUGGUGUAGCGGUGAAAUGCAUAGAUAUUACGCAGAACACCGAUUGCGAAGGCAGCUUGCUGGGCCGAAUCUGACGCUGAUGCACGAAAGCGUGGGUAUCGAACAGGAUUAGAUACCCCAGUAGUC
This 460-nucleotide ribosomal RNA is filed under the name uncultured bacterium. RNAcentral describes it as "partial 16S ribosomal RNA". It matches the Rfam family "Bacterial small subunit ribosomal RNA", at positions 338 to 795 of the family's 1533-position model. The record is from RNAcentral.